Non-coding RNA from Pelobates cultripes (western spadefoot toad), 233 nucleotides. NCBI's taxonomy places the organism in Eukaryota, Metazoa, Chordata, Amphibia, Anura, Pelobatidae. The record is from the annotation of a GenBank genome assembly.
AUUGCACAGUCUGUUGCUCUACAUAAUUCAUUUUCUGCACUUUCAGAGUGUAAUGGUGUUGUGGAGAGAGAGGCACCGAGGGCAGUGGUGUUGUGGAGAGAGAGGCACCGAGGGCAGUGGUGUUGUGGAGAGAGAGGCACUGAGGGCAGUGGUGUUGUGGAGAGAGAGGCACUGAGGGCAGUGGUGUUGUGGAGAGAGAGGCACUGAGGCUAGUGGUGUUGUGGAGAGAGGGG